CGAUAACGAACGAGACCUUAACCUGCUAAAUAGCCCGUAUUGCUUUGGCAGUACGCUGGCUUCUUAGAGGGACUAUCGGCUCAAGCCGAUGGAAGUUUGAGGCAAUCACAGGUCUGUGAUCCCCUUAGAUUUUGUGGGCCGCACGCGCGCUACACUGACGGAGCCAGCGAGUAUCUCCUUGGCCGAAAGGCCCGGGUAAUCUUGUUAAACUCCGUCGUGCUGGGGAUAGAGCAUUGCAAUUAUUGCUCUUCUAACGAGGAAUCACCCUAGU
RNAcentral lists this ribosomal RNA (271 nucleotides) under uncultured fungus. Its description in RNAcentral is "partial 18S ribosomal RNA". It matches the Rfam family "Eukaryotic small subunit ribosomal RNA", at positions 1326 to 1611 of the family's 1831-position model. The record is from RNAcentral. Lineage: Eukaryota; Fungi.